GGAGUGCUUAAGGUCUUAGGCUGAGAGGCGGGAAAUCCACCGUCAAUCCUAUGGGAGAAACCCAGAACCUGAUCCGGAUAAUGCCGGCGUAGGGAGAAUGAUGAA
Molecule: non-coding RNA, 105 nt
Filed under: bovine gut metagenome
Source: RNAcentral